GUUGUGGUGUUAAAAUACAGGGCUAGGCGUUAUCAGAGGUGCGGGUGUUCCACCAUUUAAGAGAGAGUAUGGGAGGGUGUGGAAGCGUUUCUAGCCCUCUUCAUACCUCUGUAAUGCUUUCUUCCUCUCUUAAUUAAUUCUUUCCCCUGCCAGCUCACCAAGUGUCCUCAGAGAGGCAUUUAAUUGGCACAGAAGCACAGCAGCUCCGUGACCCUCCCCGCAAACACUCACGGCCAAGAACAGAAGCGGCUCCCCUACCUCCCUGCGUCUGCUGCGGUGCGGCGGUGGUGGAGACUCCGCGGUGGAGGUCGGGGUGUCGCCCACCGACGCAGGCCCUGGUGGUGCCGCCGCCUCAUUUUUAAUAAAAGUGCCCCUGCCAAAGCAACUGUAAAGGGAAAUCAAGAUCCCCUCUUUGUGUCUCUUGAUCUUCACCAGACUUGAAGAACCUGUAGUUCUUAGAGCUGGAGGAUACUACUGAAUUUCAAGGAUUAUGGCUGUGAAACAACUAUGCAGACACCAAGGUCAGUGAAGGGCAGAGGAAAAAGAGGAAGAGUUUGAUCAAGAAGCCAGUCCUUUGGCAAAGAAAUGGGAGGAAGGAGCGAGAGAAAUCGGACAUGAAGCAGAAACUACCCGGUCCCUGACCUCAUCAGAACUUCGAGACAUGCGGAAAGAUGACAGCUGCCAGCCAGAGCCAAUGCCAGCCGGCUCCAAGAUGGACCCACCACUGGCCAAGGCCGAGCCCGUCAGCAACAGUGGUAGCACCCCUGGGAUAACAUACUUAAGAAGGGGAAAAAAGCUACACAACAGCAGCUGGGAGAGAGGAGUGAGAACAUGUGAGAGAAACAACUCUGCAGACACCAAGGUCAGUGAAGAAGGAGGGGAGGAGGUGUUCUAGGCGCUGGAGCAGAGAUUCUCCUGCAGCCCGUGGUGAAGACCAUGGUGAGGCAGGGUGUCCCCCUGGAGCCCAUAGAGGUUCACUGUGGAGCUGAUACCUACCUGCAGCCCAUGGAGGAUGCCACACGGGAGCAGGUGGAUGCCCCUGCAGACGGCCGUGACUCCAUGGGAAAGCCCACGCUGGAGCAGUCUGUUCCUGAAGGACUGCACCCCAUGGAAGGGACACAUGCCGGAGCAGUUCAUGAAGAACUGCAGCCCAUGGGAAGGGCCCACGGAGAAGUUUGUGGAGGACUGUCUCCUGUGGGAGGGACCCCACGCUGGAGCAGGGAAAGAGAGUGAGGAGGAAGGAGCGGCAGAGACAGCAUGUGAUGAACUUACUGCAACCCCCAUUCCCCGUCCCCCUGUGCUGCUCUGGGGGGAGGAGGUAGAGAAAUCGGGAGUGAAGUUGAGCCUGGGAAGAAGGGAAGGGUGGGGGGAAGGUGCUUUUAAGAUUUGGAUUUUAUUUCUCAUUAUCCUACUCCAAUUUGAUUGGUAAUAAAUUAAACUAAUUUCCCCAAGUCGAGUCUGUUUAGCCCAUGAUGGUAAUUGGUGAGUGAUCUCUCCCUGUCCUUAUCUCGACCCACGAGCCUUUUGUUGUAUUUUCUCUCCCCUGUCCAGCUGAGGAGCGGGAGUGAUGGAGCGGCUUUGGUGGGCACCUGGCCUCCAGUCAGGGUCAACCCACCACGUUAUGGAAGAAAUACUUGAAGAAUAGAAGUGAUCUUCACAAUCUAUCCAUUUCUUGAUGUAGAGGGCAACGCCUACUUCAUCACCUGUCCCUUCUGAACAGCCUGUAGCCAUCUAUAGCCGCAGUCCUGUCAUGGGAUUUGUACCACCAAGUUUCAGGAAUGGCAACCAGGUCAUAGCUUUCUAGGACAGUGGCUUCCAACUCUUCCUGUUUGUUGCCCAUGCAGUGUGCAUUAGUGUAGAGACACUUCAGCUGGGCUGUGGGCCAUGUCACCUUUUUACAGGAACACACCCUUAAUUCCUUUGAGGUAUUUCACCUGUGUUCCCCCAUUUGCUCUGAUUACCUCAUGAGCCCCUGGCUCAUCUCCAUAAGACUUCAAGUGUGCUGCAGUGUACCCAGCAAUUCUCAGAGGAACAGGCUGAGGGCCCUUGCUAGCACUUCAUCCCUCUAACCUUGGCGUGUCAUCCCUUGGUUUGUCAUGGGUGAGCCUGAUACUAUCCCCCUCCUCCUUCAAGUUCAGUUUAAAGCUCUGUCAAUGAGCCCCACUAGCUCAUGAGCAAAGACCCUCUUCCCCCUUUGAGAAGGAUGAAUCCUAUCCAAUGCCAGCAGGCCUGGUGCCAUGUAAACCAUUCCAUUAUUGAAAAACAGUAAUAGGUAAUAGUCCGAGGGCUGUAGGCGGCUAGGAAGUUUCCUAGUGAUGUCCUUAACCCAGGCCCCAGGGAGGCAGCAGACUUACCUAAGAGGAGGGUCUGUCCGGCAUAUUGGAGUGUCUGUUCCCCUCAGAAGGGAGUCACCUACAACUAUAACCCGUCUUUUCUUCCUCGUGGAGGUGGUCGUCAUACGGGGGGUAGACCUUUCUGUCCUUGGCAACACCUCUGGUGCAGAUGGACCAUCAUCCACAUCAUCCAUUGACUGGCCUUCCACAUCCAGAGCCUCAUACCUGUUGUACCGAGGCACCUGGGAAGGCGAGGUGGGCAAGGAGGCGGUUCGCCUGCCACCCCAAGCAUGGACUUGCCUCUAUUGACUCCUUUCCUUUAAGCUACUGCCUUCUGCCUGGCGGGGGGAGGACAGAGGAUCCCUUUGAUGUUGGUUUUUUUUUCUGGUGGUUGUUCCUGUUUCUGUCUUGGGGAGGGCAGAGCAUGGUUCCACCAGCCUGUCUCUUUCUCAGAUUCCCUGAUGCUCCUUAACCUUUGUACUUCCUCCCGUAGCUCUGCCACCAGGCUGAGCAGAUCGUCCAGUUGGUGACACCUCACACAGCUGUUCUCGCUACUGGUGACACCUCACGCAGCUGUUCUCGCUAAUGCCAUCCGUUACCAGUGAAAGGCUCUGGCACGCCCUGCAGCCUGAGGCCUGGACGGGCUGCACGCUUUUGUGGGAGCUCUGUCCGGGUUGCCACAUCCAUGCUGGCGAGCGAGGAGGACGUGGCUUUCAGCCGGGUGGAAUACCACAGCUAAGCUCCUCCAGGGAGGGCCAUGACCACCGGCUGAACUCACCUCUGGGGCCGGUGGGGGUGACGAUGCCCUUCCCGCGCAAACUGCGGCGCCACGCGCGGGCGGGGGGGGGGGGGUGGCCGCGGUUGCUCUGGCAACGCCCGGGUCUCGCGAGAGCUGCCGGCGCUUGGCGGGUCUCGCCGCUGCCCCGGCGCUUCCCGGCCUGAGGGAACCCCCCCGCCGGGACCUGCCGCUCCGCUGCGGGCCGUUCUGUGGUGCUGCCAUCUAGGAUUUCUGUAAACUUUAGGUAAUUAAGGUCUCGACUUUCCAUAUGUAUGAUGGAUAUGUCUUCUCUAGAUAGGAGAUACGUAAUUAUCUUAAAUGGGUAGCAGGACAAUACAGACAUUUUAGAAAACACAGAUACUAAAUAGGCUGUUCUGCUGUUGAAAGUCAUUAGCAGUGGUGGUUGCUUUUUUUGUUAACGUAAAAUACAUUAGUCUUGUUUAACUAUUGCAAAGUGAAGUAAUGCUGAGUAGAAAAUAACGUGUGCUGGUGCCCCUCACAAAGUUAGUGCUUUUGAACUCCCUGACACAUUUCAAAACGUAGGGUAAGAUGGAAUCUUUGCUUGUAGUUCCAAGUACGGGACAAAACGUAGCCUUACCAGUUCAGAAGGAGCUCAGAAAGAAAUUAUGACUCAGAGACGGUCCUCUGAAUCAUACUUCCCCUGAGCUGUAGCAUUGCACAAGUGGGGAGUGCGCGAUCAGCCCUUUGCCAGAGGAAGCAAAUUCCCUCUCCCAUGUCCAGUCAGCUCCCUUUGCUGAUACAGAAGGCAGCAAAAUGACGAUUAUGUUUACUUCUGACCCAAUUUCCCCCAACUUCUCCACUUACUCAUGGAAGGAAAUGAUGUCUCUUCGAGGUUUGCUCAUUAAUACAGUGCCCUUAAUACAGUUUUCAGGAAGGAUGGCAUGAUGGCACAGCAGAAUGCAAGAACGCCUUACAACUUCCACGCGGAACUUUAUGGCCAUCAGAUGCCUGGUGUAUUAAGUAUGUUUUACUGCUCAUUUUUAGGUAGGUGGGACACUGUACUCGCUUGUUGGGUCUGAAACCAAUGCUUGUUCCUUGGGCACUCACUUUUCAUCCUAUAGGAAGCAAAUCUGUCGCAGUGAGCGAAUAUAUCAGCAACACCUACAUGGCUUGCAAAGUACUGUUUGAGUUUGAUUCCAGGCAGAUUUGGCAAGACUAAUGAUCACCAAGUAAAACACAAUUAAACAAAUCUGAGUUCUUGGUAAUUUUUUUCAUAAAACAAACCGUACUCACGUGCAAACCAACAAAAAUAAGUAUUUCCUGUGUGUUAAAUUUAAGAAUUUAAGAAUAGUGUAAGCAAAUUAUCAGCUGAUCAGCUAAUUAAGCUCUGCAAUGACUUAUAACAGAUUCAGCCAGCAGAUUUUACAGAUGAACAGUGAUUUAUCUGUAAAUAAUUGAGAUUAAAGUAUUCAUUUGUUAGUAUUAGAUCGGCUAGCAAUGCAAAGGUCCAUUGUUCUUAAUGGCUAAAGAGGUUAAUGAUUCUGGUAACCUACUAGGAAUCAAGCAUUUAGAAUUCUAAUUUGGUAGGAACAGUAAUUCUAUGCGAAGCCUGACAUUGAAUAGGGGUUUUUUUUUUCCUGGUUGAUGAAGGAGGAAAAUCUAAAGUAGAUAGGAUAGCAUAUGUUGAAAUUGGUCAUUUCAAUGAUAGACAUCUAUACAUUUAUAGUGAAAUUUUAAGAAAAUUUUACCUGAACCAUGCACUUAAGGGACAAAUUACGCACCUAUCAAUAUAGGAGGAAAUGCAUGAGGAAAUAUCAAUUUGUUCAGUUUAGCCUGUAGGACUGCUUGGGUAAAUGGCUGCUCACCAACACAAAUAUAGAUUGUGCAAUCUAAUUUUAAGUAUGCAACUUGAAAUUCCAUUCUGUAUGAUCCUUACACCUACGUUUGUUCUUCAGAAAGAGCAUUCACAGAUUCACAAGUAGUUUUCACAACAACUAAAAAUUUUUACAAAAGAAAAUAGGUUAUAAUAAAGCCAGGGAAAAAAUUAUGUUGCAAUAAAUUGAAACAACAGGAGAUUGUCACUGAGUAUUUGCUCUGUCUCCUGAUACUCGAUUCUCUGGGCUGUUCCGUUAUUCUUGUUAGUCUUUUAUGCUUGUCAAGCUUUAUUUUCCAUCACUUUACAAAAACUGAAGAAUAGACUGAGAAAUAAAUGAUCAUAAUUAUAAAAAAUAUGAUGUGCCUGUGUUUUUUAGGAACAUAACAGUCAUUCUGACAGAUACGCCCUUAUAGUGUAGAAGGUAAAACUGGUAAACCUGAUCUAGACUGUCUCUAUGACUGGCAUACUAUGUGGCCAGUGAACAAGUGUUAGUCUGCUUCCAUGGUAUUAUUCACAGUUUUAUGGAGUUCUGAGGAGAGGCGUUAUCUAUAGUGCCUUUUUAGGUAACAGUGACAUCAUUUGUAUGAUUUGGUUUAUAUUGUACUUAUUUUUAAUAUAUCAGUGUAGAUUAACUCAACACUUCUUGGUACUGAUGCAUCUCGGAGAAUAGGGUAAUUUUCCCCUGUAUCCAUGGCUUGAUGUGAGUGAGAGUAGGGGAGAGGAAAGAGUCUGCGUAAAUAUGUUGUAUCAGUGCAAAAUCAAUCACUUAAUGCCUUUCAGGGCUUCCCUUACUACUGUGCUUUCGGUAGUAGAAUUUUCUGUUACUUAGUACUGUUGGCAGUUCAGUGUUAUUUCUGUGUAUUUGUACAAUAUGCAGCAUAAUGACCUUUACCACAAUAUGAAGAAUAAAUAAUAAUAGAGGGGCAGUGAAUCUCUAAAUUAUAUUUCAUACUAGAUUAGAACAGGCUUACCUCUCUUUUUUAAUAAAGGCAUUUGAUAUAUUUUGAAAUAAAGUAUUUCUUCAUUUUUUUGAAUAAAAACAUCUCCAAAAUUUAUAUCCUAAAACUCCUGAAGAUGAAAUGUACAAGGUAUGCAUUUGUAUCACUGCAUUUCAUAGCAAUGUAUUUCUCAUCUCCAGGCAGUUUAUAAAGGAGUAAUGCUCAGAAGAUUUCAAAAUCUUGCCUAACAUUCUGCUGUUGCUUCUUAAAUCAGAUUCUGAAGUGUUCGUGUUCCAAAUCUCAAUUACUUUUGAAUCUUGCAAAGUGAACCUGGCACUGGAUGCUAAUCCCUUCAACAUAAAAGCAUAGUAUGAUGUAAUAAAACUGUAUUUCAUACAGUCUUACAAAUAAAUUAUGUCCCAAAUAAGUUUAUAGAA
Molecule: long non-coding RNA, 6323 nt
Organism: Harpia harpyja (harpy eagle)
Lineage: Eukaryota; Metazoa; Chordata; Aves; Accipitriformes; Accipitridae
Exons: 4
Source: RefSeq, a predicted model, not a curated record